UACGGAGGAUCCGAGCGUUAUCCGGAUUUAUUGGGUUUAAAGGGUGCGCAGGCGGGAGAUUAAGUCGGCGGUGAAAUUUUGCGGCUCAACUGUAAAAGUGCCUUCGAAACUGGUUUCCUUGAGUGUAGAUGAAGUAGGCGGAAUUUGUGGUGUAGCGGUGAAAUGCAUAGAUAUCACGAGGAACUCCGAUUGCGUAGGCAGCUUACUAAACUACUACUGACGCUCAGGCACGAAGGCGUGGGGAUCAAACAGGAUUAGAUACCCUGGUAGUCCCU
Molecule: ribosomal RNA, 275 nt
Filed under: uncultured prokaryote
Description: partial 16S ribosomal RNA
Rfam family: Bacterial small subunit ribosomal RNA
Source: RNAcentral